AACUUUCAACAACGGAUCUCUUGGCUCUGGCAUCGAUGAAGAACGCAGCGAAAUGCGAUAAGUAAUGUGAAUUGCAGAAUUCAGUGAAUCAUCGAAUCUUUGAACGCACAUUGCGCCCGCCAGCACUCUGGCGGGCAUGCCUGUCCGAGCGUCAU
Molecule: ribosomal RNA, 155 nt
Filed under: Tolypocladium japonicum
Lineage: Eukaryota; Fungi; Ascomycota; Sordariomycetes; Hypocreales; Ophiocordycipitaceae
Description: 5.8S ribosomal RNA
Rfam family: 5.8S ribosomal RNA
About the family: 5.8S ribosomal RNA (5.8S rRNA) is a component of the large subunit of the eukaryotic ribosome. It is transcribed by RNA polymerase I as part of the 45S precursor that also contains 18S and 28S rRNA.
Source: RNAcentral